CCACCCAGCUAUCAACAUACCACCCAGCUAUCAGCAUACCACCCAGCUAUCAGCAUACCACCCAGCUAUCAGCAUACCACCCAGCUAUCAACAUACCACCCAGCUAUCAGCAUACCACCCAGCUAUCAGCAUACCACCCAGCUAUCAACAUACCACCCAGCUAUCAGCAUACCACCCAGCUAUCAGCAUACCACCCAGUUAUCAGCAUACCACCCAGCUAUCAGCAUACCACCCAGCUAUCAACAUACCACCCAGCUAUCAGCAUACCACCCAGCUAUCAGCAUACCACCCAGCUAUCAACAUACCACCCAGCUAUCAGCAUACCACCCAGCUAUCAGCAUACCACCCAGCUAUCAGCAUACCACCCAGCUAUCAACAUACCACCCAGCUAUCAGCAUACCACCCAGCUAUCAGCAUACCACCCAGCUAUCAACAUACCACCCAGCUAUCAACAUACCACCCAGCUAUCAGCAUACCACCCAGCUAUCAGCAUACCACCCAGCUAUCAGCAUACCACCCAGCUAUCAACAUACCACCCAGCUAUCAGCAUACCACCCAGCUAUCAGCAUACCACCCAGCUAUCAGCAUACCACCCAGCUAUCAGCAUACCACCCUGUUAUCAGCAUACCACCCAGCUAUCAGCAUACCACCCUGUAUCCCACUGCUGGCUGGCUUCUGAAGCUAAGCAGGGUUGAUCCUGGUCUGUCCCUGGAUGGGAGGCCAGAUGUUGGGGGAAGUGGUAUUGGGAGGGCUAGUAGAGGGCAUUCUUCUCUCUGGUCUUAGAAAAUCCCAGGCCAGUGAAGGGGAUGCUGCCCUGCAUAGGGUAUUGUCUUUCAGAUGGGACGUUAAACAGAUCUCCUGCCACUAUGGUCAUUAAAAAUCCCAUGACAGUUAUUGUAAGAGAAGGGGUGUUAACCCUGGUGUCAUGGCUAAGUUCCCAACCUGGCCCCAUUCCAUUAUGGCCACCUAAUCAUCCCCCUCAUUCCUAAUUGGUGUAUAUCACUCCUCACCUCU
This 1014-nucleotide long non-coding RNA is filed under the name Oncorhynchus kisutch (coho salmon). RNAcentral's name for it is "lncRNA (ENSOKIG00005029985.1)". Lineage: Eukaryota; Metazoa; Chordata; Actinopteri; Salmoniformes; Salmonidae. The record is from RNAcentral.